UGGGGAAUAUUGGACAAUGGGCGCAAGCCUGAUCCAGCCAUGCCGCGUGAGUGAUGAAGGCCUUAGGGUUGUAAAGCUCUUUUGCCGGGGACGAUAAUGACGGUACCCGGAGAAUAAGUCCCGGCUAACUUCGUGCCAGCAGCCGCGGUAAUACGAAGGGGACUAGCGUUGUUCGGAAUCACUGGGCGUAAAGCGCACGUAGGUGGAUUUGUAAGUCAGGGGUGAAAUCCCGGGGCUCAACCUCGGAACUGCCUUUGAUACUGCAAGUCUUGAGUCCGAUAGAGGUGGGUGGAAUUCCUAGUGUAGAGGUGAAAUUCGUAGUUAUUAGGAAGAACACCGGUGGCGAAGGCGGCCCACUGGAUCGGUACUGACACUGAGGUGCGAAAGCGUGGGGAGCAAAC
RNAcentral lists this ribosomal RNA (401 nucleotides) under uncultured bacterium. Its description in RNAcentral is "bacterial SSU rRNA". It matches the Rfam family "Bacterial small subunit ribosomal RNA", at positions 355 to 773 of the family's 1533-position model. The record is from RNAcentral.